CACAAUGUUAUACUGGAGAGCAGGAAGAGCUCUGUUGGGUAUAAGUAACAGACUUUUUUUUUUUCUUCUAUGUGGCUCUUUGCA
RNAcentral lists this microRNA precursor (84 nucleotides) under Homo sapiens (human). Its description in RNAcentral is "mir-1270 microRNA precursor family". It matches the Rfam family "mir-1270 microRNA precursor family". The record is from Rfam by way of RNAcentral. Lineage: Eukaryota; Metazoa; Chordata; Mammalia; Primates; Hominidae.